This is a long non-coding RNA of Anguilla rostrata (American eel), 1571 nucleotides long. RefSeq lists it as uncharacterized. The transcript is spliced from 6 exons. NCBI's taxonomy places the organism in Eukaryota, Metazoa, Chordata, Actinopteri, Anguilliformes, Anguillidae. The record is from RefSeq and is a predicted model, not a curated record.
CGCUCAUGAGUUCCUAAGCGUUCUCCUGUCCCAGCUUAAAGAGGAGGGGGUUUCCCUGAGGACAAGGGUGGGGCUGCACCCCUACACGGGUUCCAUAGAGGCAAAUUGUGAAUUUGGCCUCCUGUCCAUCAGAAAGUGCCUCAGCUGCGGGGAGAAGGUGUGUAGGACAGAGUCCUACAACUGCUUGUCUGUGAACUUGGUCCCUGGGGGCUCUGUGCAAGACAAUUUUUGCCCUUUACUUCAAGGGCUAUGAGGUAGAGUGUCGGUGCCAGUGGUGAUUUAGAGUUGGCCACUGUGGAGCAGAGGUUACAGUCACUGCCUCAAGUGCUGGUCGUGCAGCUGAAACGGUUCAGUUUUAACUCCAGAGGGAACCUGGUGAAGCUGCACGAUCACCUGCACAUCUCCCCACAGCUCAGCCUGCAGGCCCACAGCAGGGCCAACGUUCGCCUGCCAGGGCUGCCCAAGCCCCACCUGACCCAUGGGGAUUUUGCAACCUCCCCCUCACCAGAGGGAGCUGUUCUCUUUACAGAAUGAAUACAGUCAUCAGCAUGCUGUCCCACAUUGGAUCCAGCAUGCAACACGGUCAUUACAUCUGUGAGAGCUGUGAUUGCAACACAAACGACAACGAGAGAGUAAAGCAGCUGGACCAGAAGUCUGUGUUGAAGCGGAGGUCAAACUCCGCCUACAUGCUGUUUUAUGAAUACAGGUGAGAGCUCGUCCAUAACAAAAGCCCUGCUGUUCUGUGAUUGUGGUACAGGUAGAAUUACUGCUGAGCUAUAAGUACAGGUGACAAUAGCAUCAGGUUCAGUUGUGUUGGGGGAGGUUUGCAGGCAGUGUGACUGGGCUGGUGUCUGUUGUAGGGGUGCUGGUGUAUAGAGAUGGAACCAAGGCCAUCUUUAAAUGAGACUGCCCAGUCCUCUCUGCCUCUACAAGAGUGGAACAGCCAUGUAUGUUUUUCAUUUGUUGCUGAUGUUGCUUGAAAUGUAUAAUGUAUAUUAUAAGCAUUGUGAAAAAAAUUAAUGGUCAUCAUACAAAAAUUUGCCAUUUUGCUUUUCCUGCUUCCACGACCUCUGCCAUAGGUUUUGUGGUUACAUUUGUUUGUGCUGCGGGUGUGUUUCGUUUUUCCGGUUGGUCAUCAGAUUGAUGUUUGUCUCCGGUUGCUCUGUUUGAAAAAGCUGCCGUUUGUAUGUGAUGUGGAUCAAAGACAUAUUAAAAUGUUUUUAUUUUCUGGUUAAGUUAUCCUUGAACAUACCUUGAGCCAAAUAAACUAUCUAUUCAUCUGUGGGGUCCAUGAUUUCUAUGUGUGCAUGUGUGUGUUCAUGUUUUUUUUAAAUUAUUUUUUAUUAUUAAUUUACUUUGUUUUCAGCAUAUGAUCAAUGUAUUAUCUUGAAUUAACCCUUGUGUUUGGUUUGGGCAAAUGUACUGACUUUACAUUUUUUUAAACCGAUUUUUACCCUUUUGAGAAAUGUUUUUCCUAACCACUGAAUAAAUUUGAUUAUUAUUUUAUGUUUCAAUUUGUUGUUCACCAUCUGUAUUUGUUGUCUGUCUUUUGCCUGUGUGGUUUCUUUGAA